UAAGGAAUAUUGCUCAAUGGGAGAAAUCCUGAAGCAGCAACGCCGCGUGGAGGAUGAAGGGUCUAUGACUUGUAAACUCCUGUAAAGAAGGAAAAAAUUCCCAUUAGAUGGGAGAUGAUGGUACUUCUGGAGUAAGCCCCGGCUAACUACGUGCCAGCAGCCGCGGUAAUACGUAGGGGGCAAGCGUUGUCCGGAUUUACUGGGUGUAAAGGGCGCGCAGGCGGGAUAAAAAGUCAGUGGUGAAAUCCUACAGCUUAACUGUAGAACUGCCUUUGAUACUUUUAGUCUUGAGUUCGGGAGAGAGAGACGGAAUUCCAGGUGUAGUGGUGAAAUACGUAGAUAUCUGGAAGAACACCAGUUGCGAAGGCGGUCUCUUGGUCCGACACUGACGCUGAGGCGCGAAAGCGUGGGGAGCAAACA
RNAcentral lists this ribosomal RNA (420 nucleotides) under uncultured bacterium. RNAcentral describes it as "bacterial SSU rRNA". It matches the Rfam family "Bacterial small subunit ribosomal RNA", at positions 355 to 774 of the family's 1533-position model. The record is from RNAcentral.